UGUGGCUCAAAUGGUAAAGCACCUACUUGGUAAGUAGGAGCCCUGAGUUCAAACCACAGUA
RNAcentral lists this transfer RNA (61 nucleotides) under Dipodomys ordii (Ord's kangaroo rat). Lineage: Eukaryota; Metazoa; Chordata; Mammalia; Rodentia; Heteromyidae. The record is from Rfam by way of RNAcentral.